UUUAUGGAGAGUUUGAUCCUGGCUCAGGAUGAACGCUGGCGGCGUGCCUAAUACAUGCAAGUCGAGCGAACAGAUAAGGAGCUUGCUCCUUUGACGUUAGCGGCGGACGGGUGAGUAACACGUGGGUAACCUACCUAUAAGACUGGAAUAACUCCGGGAAACCGGGGCUAAUGCCGGAUAACAUGUUGAACCGCAUGGUU
This 200-nucleotide ribosomal RNA is filed under the name Staphylococcus pseudintermedius. RNAcentral's name for it is "partial 16S ribosomal RNA". It matches the Rfam family "Bacterial small subunit ribosomal RNA", at positions 1 to 195 of the family's 1533-position model. The record is from RNAcentral. Lineage: Bacteria; Bacillati; Bacillota; Bacilli; Caryophanales; Staphylococcaceae.